GGGUCGUUGCGAUUACGGGUUGGAUGUCUAAUUGUCCAUGAACUUAGCCGAUACAAAGCUAUAUGAUAGCACC
RNAcentral lists this transfer RNA (73 nucleotides) under Hydrangea serrata. RNAcentral's name for it is "tRNA-Ala". Lineage: Eukaryota; Viridiplantae; Streptophyta; Magnoliopsida; Cornales; Hydrangeaceae. The record is from RNAcentral.